CAAAAGCAACCCUUCUUGCUCCAGGCAUGUGCAGGAGGUUUUUUGGUUUCAGCAUUUUGUUGCAUGCUGACUAUGUCCUUUACCUUCUCUUAAAUUAUGUAUCAAUUCAUGCUGGUUUAUUCACUUCCUGAUGUCUAUAUGAAGAGGCUGUCUGCCAACAUCUUUCAUCACUCUGCCUGCAACUAUGAAAAAUUUAGUUCUAAAAAAUGCAACCUUGCUAAAUUGAGUACUAAUAGGAUUGGUUCAAUUAUGUUCUAUGUCUGUUCCAUAUUGACAUUGUGUGCAUCUUUGCCAUGCAGGCUUUUUAGGAAUUAUCGCAUCUCUAACUUCCCACGAGUGUUUAUGAAAAUGUUUAGAUUUAAAGAACUUUAUUGCUUUAGACAGAAUAAGGCAUGCAGUUCUAACAGAAAGAUCCAUGAAUUCCAGAAAUAUCACUGAAAAUUAUUGACAUUUAAGAUUAUUUUCUGUUUGUUACUAUGGUUCACAAUUCAAGAAUAACUCUGGCCAGGUGCAGUAGCUCACACCCUGUAAUCCCAGCACUUUGGGAGGCUGAGGUAGGCAGAUCACUUGAGCUCAAGAGUUCAAGACCAGCCUGGGAAACAUGGCAAACUCCCACCAUUACAAAAAAAUACAAAAAUUAGUUGGUCAUGGUGGUGUUCACCUAUAGUCCCAGUGACUUGGGAGGCUGGGAUGGGAGGAUCUCUUGAGCCCAGGAGAUGCAGGCUUGCAGUGAGCCAUGAUCAUGCCACUGUACUGCAGACUGGGUGAAACAGCAAGAUCUUGUCUGAAAAGAAAAAAAAAAGUAAAAGAAAAAGAAAAGAAAAUAACUCCCAUUGCUAAAGACAUAUAUGCUUAUCAGGUUAAGAUAAAGUGAAUUUUGUUCUUCCCAAUGACAUUUCAGGAUAUUUGUUCACAGGAAAGAACAUGUUGGGAAUUGGUACUGGCUAGAAAUUUCUGUUGAGUAUUUAUUACCCCAUGGUAAUAAUGGUAAACCACAGUUUAGAAAGAUUUUUUUUUUGACAGCCACAGCAUGUUCCGAAGAGAUGAUUGGAAGAUGGAAGUGGAGGGUUAAAUAAUGAAAUGCAGCUAACAUUUCGGAAAGUUUCUAAAAGUUGUACAACAUGCCCUACAGCUACUCUUUAAAUCUCCAAAUCAAAUGAGUUUCAGGUGGAGCCUCUGGGAGGUGAUGAGGUCAUGAGAGUGGAGCCUCAUGAAUGGGAUGAGCACUCCUACAAAAAGGAUUCCAGAGAGCUCGCUUGCUCCUUCCACAGUGUGAGGACACAGAGGGAAGGCUCUGUCUAUGAAUGAGAAAGUGGGUCCCCACCAGACAUUGAAUCUGCCGCAUCUUGAUACUGGACUUCCAGUCUCCAGAACUGUGGGCAAUAAAUGUCUGUUGUUUAUUACCUGUCCAGUAUCUUUGGUAUUUUGCUAUAGCAACCCAAAUGGACUAAGAAAACACCAGAGGCCAUACCUAAUAAAAAUAUUGACAUCACAA
This is a long non-coding RNA of Homo sapiens (human), 1495 nucleotides long. Ensembl annotates it as testis expressed transcript, Y-linked 14. Its record names the gene TTTY14. Lineage: Eukaryota; Metazoa; Chordata; Mammalia; Primates; Hominidae. The record is from Ensembl.